GGUUGCCCGAGAAAAGAACAUAAAUUCUGCCUUAAAACUUAGACACCAUCAAAGUGCACCCCAGCUUUAAGAGUUAUUCAAACGAGGUACAGCUCGUUUGAAACAGGAAACAACCUAACACCUAGGUAAAGAUUAUACUUUUUAAGGUCUUGACAAAGUUGGCCUAAAAGCAGCCACCUUGUAAGAAAGCGUCACAGCUCAAACAAACUACCACACUAAUACCUAUAACUUCUUCUAACCCUACCAAACUAUCGAGCCCAUUUAUAUUAUUAUAAAAAAGUUUAUGUUAGAACUAGUAACAAGAAACGAACUUCUCUUAAUGCAAGUGUACAUCAGAUUGAACCAAUCACUGAUAAUUACCGGCCCAUCACUAAGGGGAAUGUAAUAACCCUUCAAGAAAACCAUACACAAACAACCGUUAAACUUACACGAGAGCAUUUCAAGAAAGAUUAAAAGGUGCGGAAGGAACUCGGCAAAUACGAACUUCGCCUG
RNAcentral lists this ribosomal RNA (492 nucleotides) under Bombina orientalis. RNAcentral describes it as "partial 16S ribosomal RNA". Lineage: Eukaryota; Metazoa; Chordata; Amphibia; Anura; Bombinatoridae. The record is from RNAcentral.